CGCGUCGCUGCCCUGAAUUUUUCUGGUGUUAUCAACAAAUCUUAAAUUGUGAGAUACUACUUUCUGGAGUACAAUAAUGCCAUGACUCAGAAGAUGAAUCAGACAACAUGAGGAAAUCCCAGACUUUGAUACUGUUCAAAACGUUCAGGCAAAAUCUAAGCAUUUCAUUGCAGUGCCAAUGGUAAAAAGAAAACGCUGGUCCUAUUGUAUAAAACAGCUGUCCACGGAUUACAUUUACAAGAAAAGGACAACCAUGGCAGUUAUGAUAGCGACAAUGAAAGAUGCAUAGAUUAUUGGAGUAUUGAACGCAUUGAGUGUGAAUGGUAGCGAAAAGAUGCAUUGUAAACAAGGUCAACAGACGAAACGCUAACAACAAAGAAUUUUGUAUGUAAUCAGAGGAUACAUACUUUUUUCAGUCUGCUGCAAAACAUUCCUACAUGUAUACGGGUUGAAACCUGAAGGAUCUGGAGAAGGUCUGUAUGGAGGAGUGGGCCAAAAUCCCUGCUGCAGUGUGUGCAAACCUGGUCAAGAACUACAGGAAAUUAUUCUGUCACUCACAGUUGAAGAGUACCUAUGAUAAACAUUACAGACUUCUACAUCCUUUGUCACCUGAUGUCAUCCUACGGUUGCUGAGUGACAUUCAAAUGAGUUGACAGUCAUCUCGGUCAGUGGACAGUCGUUUUCGCCCUCUGCCAGUCUGUAGCUUUGUUGUCCCAAAUGUCUGUUGCUUGACCUUGUUCUUAUAAAUCACCGUCUUUGAAAUGUUUAGGAUGGAAACAACUUGACGCUCACUGUAUCCCUCUGCCAAUAAACCCAGA
Long non-coding RNA from Esox lucius (northern pike), 818 nucleotides. The record is from Ensembl. Lineage: Eukaryota; Metazoa; Chordata; Actinopteri; Esociformes; Esocidae.